RNAcentral lists this ribosomal RNA (512 nucleotides) under uncultured bacterium. RNAcentral's name for it is "partial 16S ribosomal RNA". It matches the Rfam family "Bacterial small subunit ribosomal RNA", at positions 28 to 523 of the family's 1533-position model. The record is from RNAcentral.
GACGAACGCUGGCGGCGUGCCUAAUACAUGCAAGUCGAGCGGAACUGGGGGAGCUUGCUCCUUCCAGUUUAGCGGCGGACGGGUGAGUAACACGUGGGCAACCUGCCCUGCAGAUCGGGAUAACUCCGGGAAACCGGUGCUAAUACCGAAUAGUUUGGCGCCUCGCCUGAGGCGCUACGGAAAGACGGUUUCGGCUGUCACUGCAGGAUGGGCCCGCGGCGCAUUAGCUAGUUGGUGGGGUAACGGCCCACCAAGGCGACGAUGCGUAUGCGACCUGAGAGGGUGCCCGGCCACACUGGGACUGAGACGCGGGCAAGACGCCUCGGGGAGGCAGCAGUAGGGAAUCUUCCGCAAGGGACGCAAGUCUGACGGAGCAACGCCGCGUGAGUGACGAAGGUUUUCGGAUCGUAAAACUCUGUUGGGAGGGAAGAACACGUACCAACUAACUAUUGGUACCUUGACGGUACCUCACCAGAAAGCCACGGCUAACUACGUGCCAGCAGCCGCCGUAA